AAAUUNNGAANUNNUGCCUUNCCNNGGGUCCGAGUUGUAAUUUGCAGAGAGUGCUUCGGNNGAGGCCNNCGGUNUAAGUCCNGCUGGAACAUGGUGUCAUAGAGGGUGAGAACCCCGUACGCGACCGUGGUUCCGAGUCCCAUGUGAAGCCUUUUCGAUGAGUCGAGUUGUUUGGGAAUGCAGCUCUAAGUGGGUGGUAAAUUUCAUCUAAAGCUAAAUACUGGCUGGAGACCGAUAGCGCACAAGUAGAGUGAUCGAAAGAUGAAAAGCACUUUGAAAAGAGAGUUAAAAAGUACGUGAAAUUGUUGAAAGGGAAGCGCUUGCGACCAGACCUGCCCGUAGGCGAUCAGCCUCUGUUCUCAGGGGUGCACUCGCUCUACGAUCAGGCCAGCAUCGGUUUGGGCGGUCGGAUAAAGGCCUUGGGAAUGUAGCUCCCUCUCGGGGGAGUCUUAUAGCCCUCGGUGCAAUGCGGCCAGCCGGGACCGAGGACCGCGCUUCGGCUAGGAUGCUGGCGUAAUGGUUGCAAGCGACCCGUCUUGAAACACGGACCAAGGAGUCUAACAUCUAUGCGAGUGUUUGGGCGUCAAACCCAUACGCGGAAUGAAAGUGAACGGAGGUGAGAACCCUUAAGGGCGCAUCAUCGACCGAUCCAGAUGUCUUCGGAUGGAUUUGAGUAUGAGCAUAGCUGUUGGGACCCGAAAGGUAAGGCUAGCCCCCCCUCGAUGUCGAAACCGCAAGCUAAUGCGUUGGAUAGAUGGUGAACUAUGCCUGAAUAGGGUGAAGCCAGAGGAAACUCUGGUGGAGGCUCGCAGCGGUUCUGACGUGCAAAUCGAUCGUCAAAUUUGGGUAUAGGGGUACGUG
Molecule: ribosomal RNA, 861 nt
Filed under: Canoparmelia texana
Lineage: Eukaryota; Fungi; Ascomycota; Lecanoromycetes; Lecanorales; Parmeliaceae
Description: eukaryotic LSU rRNA
Rfam family: Eukaryotic large subunit ribosomal RNA
Source: RNAcentral